ACGAUGCGAAUCUUCUCUGGUUUCAUC
This 27-nucleotide non-coding RNA is filed under the name Bombyx mori (domestic silkworm). Lineage: Eukaryota; Metazoa; Arthropoda; Insecta; Lepidoptera; Bombycidae. The record is from RNAcentral.